Molecule: ribosomal RNA, 1078 nt
Filed under: uncultured organism
Description: bacterial SSU rRNA
Rfam family: Bacterial small subunit ribosomal RNA
Source: RNAcentral
CUGGCGGCAUGGUUAAACAUGCAAGUCGAACGCGUCUUCGGGACGAGUGGCGAAAGGGCGAGUAACGCGAUCGAACGUAUCCCGAGGCGGGGGAUAGGUAGCCGAAAGGCGGCGUAAUACCCCAUACGCUCUACGGAGGAAAGGCUUGCCACCUUGGGAGCGGCGAUCGUCCUAUCAGGUUGUUGGUGAGGUAACGGCUCACCAAGCCGAAGACAGGUAGCGGGUGUGAGAGCAUGGCCCGCCGCAUCGGGACUGAGACACUGCCCGGACUCCUACGGGAGGCUGCAGUUACGAAUCUUCCGCAAUGGGCGAAAGCCUGACGGAGCAAUGCCGCGUGUGGGAUGAAGCUGUUACGCAGUGUAAACCACUGUCAGGGUCUAGCAACACUGAGCAGACCCAGAGGAAGGGCCGGCUAAUUCCGUGCCAGCAGCCGCGGUAACACGGAAGGCCCGAGCGUUAAUCGGAAUCACUGGGCUUAAAGCGUGCGCAGGCGGACCGGUAGGCAUCUCGUGAAAGCCCACGGCUCAACCGUGGAACUGCGGGGUGAACCGCCGGUCUCGAGGCAGGUAGAGGUCAACGGAACUAUGGGUAGAGCGGUGAAAUGCGUAGAUAUCCAUGGGAACGCCGGUGGCGAAGGCGGUUGACUGGGCCUGUCCUGACGCUCAGGCACGAAAGCGUGGGUAGCGAACGGGAUUAGAUACCCCGGUAGUCCACGCCGUAAACGCUGCACACUAGGUCGGGGGAGUUCUCACACUUUCCCGGCCGAAGGUAAACUGUUAAGUGUGCCGCCUGGGGAGUACGGUCGCAAGGCUAAAACUCAAAGGAAUUGACGGGGGCUCACACAAGCGGUGGAGCAUGUUGCUUAAUUCGAGGCAACGCGAAGAACCUUACCUAGGCUUGACAUGCACGGAUUAGCCGGCUGAAAGGUCGGUGACGCCUUCGGGUGGAACGUGCACAGGUGCUGCAUGGCUGUCGUCAGCUCGUGCUGUGAAGUGUCGGUUAAGUCCCUUAACGAGCGCAACCCCUAUCGCUAGUUACUAACGCGUUAUGGCGAGGACUCUAGCGAGACUGCCGGUGU